AUGAACGCUGGCGGCGUGCCUAAUACAUGCAAGUCGAGCGAACAGACGAGGAGCUUGCUCCUCUGACGUUAGCGGCGGACGGGGGAGUAACACGUGGAUAACCUACCUAUAAGACUGGGAUAACUUCGGGAAACCGGAGCUAAUACCGGAUAAUAUAUUGAACCGCAUGGUUCAAUAGGGAAAUACGGUUUUGCUGUCACUUAUAAAUGGAUCCGCGCCGCAUUAGCUAGUUGGUAAGGUAACGGCUUACCAAGGCAACGAUGCGUAGCCGACCUGAGAGGGUGAUCGGCCACACUGGAACUGAGACACGGUCCAGACUCCUACGGGAGGCAGCAGUAGGGAAUCUUCCGCAAUGGGCGAAAGCUUGACGGAGCAACGCCGCGUGAGUGAUGAAGGUCUUCGGAUCGUAAAACUCUGUUAUUAGGGAAGAACAAAUGUGUAAGUAACUAUGCACGUCUUGACGGUACCUAAUCAGAAAGCCACGGCUAGCUACGUG
Molecule: ribosomal RNA, 496 nt
Filed under: uncultured bacterium
Lineage: Bacteria
Description: partial 16S ribosomal RNA
Rfam family: Bacterial small subunit ribosomal RNA
Source: RNAcentral